UACGUAGGGACCAAGCGUUGUUCGGAUUUACUGGGCGUAAAGGGCGCGUAGGCGGCAAUUCAAGUCAUCUGUGAAAUCUCCGGGCUUAACUCGGAACGGUCAGAUGAUACUGCUUUGCUAGAGUGCGGAAGGGGCAAUCGGAAUUCUCGGUGUAGCGGUGAAAUGCGUAGAUAUCAGGAAGAACACCCGUGGCGAGGGCGGCUCUCUGGGACGGUACUGACGCUGAGACGCGAAAGCGUGGGGAGCGAACAGG
This 253-nucleotide ribosomal RNA is filed under the name uncultured bacterium. Its description in RNAcentral is "partial 16S ribosomal RNA". It matches the Rfam family "Bacterial small subunit ribosomal RNA", at positions 524 to 776 of the family's 1533-position model. The record is from RNAcentral.